RNAcentral lists this unclassified non-coding RNA (240 nucleotides) under soil metagenome. Its description in RNAcentral is "partial contains 5.8S ribosomal RNA, internal transcribed spacer 2, and large subunit ribosomal RNA". The record is from RNAcentral.
AACGAGGCCGACCUGCGGUUGAGUUACCUGCGGAGGGAUCAUUAAUGAAUAAACUUGGUCAAGCUGUUGCUGGUUCUUCGGGACAUGUGCACGCUUGCCACCAAUUUUAACCACCUGUGCACCUUUUGUAGACUGGAAACGUUUCUCGAGGCAACUCGGAUUGAGAAUUGCUGCGCGCAAGCCGGCUGUUCUUGUGUUUCUCAGUCUAUGUUUCUAUAUACUCCUAAUGUAUGUAUCUGA